Molecule: ribosomal RNA, 485 nt
Filed under: uncultured bacterium
Lineage: Bacteria
Description: partial 16S ribosomal RNA
Rfam family: Bacterial small subunit ribosomal RNA
Source: RNAcentral
AUUGAACGCUGGCGGCAUGCCUUACACAUGCAAGUCGAACGGCAGCACGGGUGCUUGCACCUGGUGGCGAGUGGCGAACGGGUGAGUAAUACAUCGGAACAUGUCCUGUAGUGGGGGAUAGCCCGGCGAAAGCCGGAUUAAUACCGCAUACGAUCCACGGAUGAAAGCGGGGGACCUUCGGGCCUCGCGCUAUAGGGUUGGCCGAUGGCUGAUUAGCUAGUUGGUGGGGUAAAGGCCUACCAAGGCGACGAUCAGUAGCUGGUCUGAGAGGACGACCAGCCACACUGGGACUGAGACACGGCCCAGACUCCUACGGGAGGCAGCAGUGGGGAAUUUUGGACAAUGGGCGAAAGCCUGAUCCAGCAAUGCCGCGUGUGUGAAGAAGGCCUUCGGGUUGUAAAGCACUUUUGUCCGGAAAGAAAUCCUUGGCUCUAAUACAGUCGGGGGAUGACGGGACCGGAAGAAGAAGCACCGGCUAACUACGU